Non-coding RNA from Picea glauca (white spruce), 119 nucleotides. The record is from Rfam. NCBI's taxonomy places the organism in Eukaryota, Viridiplantae, Streptophyta, Pinopsida, Pinales, Pinaceae.
AGGUGUGAUCAAACCAACGUUAAUGCAUCGGAUCCCAUCAGAACUUUACAGUUAAGCAUGCUUGGGCUAGAGUAGUACUGGGAUGGGUGACCUCCCGGGAAGUCCUAGUGUUGCACCCU